RNAcentral lists this ribosomal RNA (375 nucleotides) under uncultured bacterium. RNAcentral's name for it is "bacterial SSU rRNA". It matches the Rfam family "Bacterial small subunit ribosomal RNA", at positions 524 to 898 of the family's 1533-position model. The record is from RNAcentral.
GACGAACUGUCCAAACGUUGUUCGGAAUCACUGGGCUUAAAGGGCGCGUAGGCGGUCGGAUAAGUCGGGGGUGAAAUCCUGCAGCUCAACUGUAGAAGUGCCUUCGAUACUGUCCGUCUGGAGGGAGAUAGGGGUGUGCGGAACUUCCAGUGGAGCGGUGAAAUGCGUUGAUAUUGGAAGGAACGCCGGAGGCGAAAGCGGCGCACUGGAUCUCUUCUGACGCUGAGGCGCGAAAGCUAGGGGAGCAAACGGGAUUAGAUACCCCGGUAGUCCUAGCCCUAAACGAUGAGUACUAGAUUGUAGACUGAUCAUGGGUUUACAGUCGAAGCAAAAGUUUUAAGUACUCCGCCUGGGGAGUAUGGUCGCAAGGCUGAA